AGUGCGCACACACGGAGAGGAGAGCGGGGGCUGGCUCCCCUCAGGCACCGGGAGCACGGUGUAGGCGGGCUUGGUCCAUCUGCCGCGUGUCAGGCAGUCUGGAGGCCUGUUAGGAGCGCUUCACAGGGAUGUACAGUGAUGAGCAGCGAGUGUACGCUGCAGCUUAACUGCACAGUGUGUGUGUGUGCACAUGCCUUACACAGCUGGGCCUGUUCUUCCCAAAAGCAAUAAGUAGCGAAAAUGGCACUUUUGUCAUGAAGCAGUCCUUGUAUUUGAUGUGCAGAUCUAAUCAGCGUUACGCUGUGGUGAGAGACUCAAAUACAGUUGAGAUAUUUGAGGUACUGCUAGUUUGCAUCAUUGUACAUGCUUCUAUGAUUACAGAAAUUCUUAUUUUGCUCCUACUAUAUUGCAUUCUUUAUUAUUUAAGUUGUCUCCUCGUUCAGUUCUAGAGAACGUAUGCACUGCAUGUCUUGAGAAAAAGCUUUCUUUUCUCUUUAGUAUUCCUUGAUUUUGCAGGGAGUGUUAACUGAAUAUCAGCUGUGGAAAAAAAAAAUAAGGCCACAAAGACAAUUGUUUUGGCUUGGUGUUCUAUUUUUUUGGCUGAGUAUACUUUGUGAGUGUACUUCCUUUCCAGGGCAAUGGUUCUUGUUUCCCUCUGGCAUUAUUUGUGUCCUUCUUUGGCUGAAGUGGCUUUGGAGGUACUUAGGAAGAGCUGUCAAACAAUGAUGUGCUGCCUCCAGAUCCUUGUCUCGUCACAGGAUAAAAUUCAGGUGUCACAGGAACCACUGCCCAGCAAGAACCAGCGCCCUGAUGGAGGAGCAGCGACGGCCUGCGACAAGGAGUGUCUGCGUGGUGGGUGAUUUUACAGGGUUUUACAGUCCCACAUAAACCGGGGAGAAGAUUUGUUUCCAUUUGUUUUAGCUUCAAGUCAAGCAUGCUUCUAAAUCAUCAGCACCCAGACUGGAUCUCUUUGGGAAGGGGGGAGGAUUGGCAGCAAGGAUGCUCACGGCCACAGCUUUGCUUCAUGAAAGGGGUGAUGAAUGCUGAGCUGUGCAGAGCUCAGCUCUGUGCAGAGCAGCAGAGAAGACAAACCUCAAACACGGGGCAAGACAAAGGCCAGAGAAAGCUGCUUUGGCAUCUGACCCGCCUGCUUUACUUGGUGCAUCCCAAACCCUUCUGCAGUCUCUCUUCCCGCAGCCACAUGCUCAGCUCUGGAUUUGGCUGUGGUGCCGCUGGAAAAAAAAUAAAAGGAAAAAAUAAAACCCACCGCUUGUAAAUCUA
Molecule: long non-coding RNA, 1281 nt
Organism: Numida meleagris (helmeted guineafowl)
Lineage: Eukaryota; Metazoa; Chordata; Aves; Galliformes; Numididae
Exons: 2
Source: RefSeq, a predicted model, not a curated record